CAACAAGUGGUUUACAAUUAGAAUAUUAGUUUUGGGUAUUAGGGGUAUAGGGGUUCCUAUCUUGUUGA
This 68-nucleotide transfer RNA is filed under the name Nesophrosyne montium. RNAcentral describes it as "tRNA-Pro". The record is from RNAcentral. Lineage: Eukaryota; Metazoa; Arthropoda; Insecta; Hemiptera; Cicadellidae.